This 470-nucleotide ribosomal RNA is filed under the name uncultured bacterium. RNAcentral describes it as "bacterial SSU rRNA". It matches the Rfam family "Bacterial small subunit ribosomal RNA", at positions 335 to 802 of the family's 1533-position model. The record is from RNAcentral.
ACUCCUACGGGAGGCAUCAGUGGGGAAUAUUGCACAAUGGGGGAAACCCUGAUGCAGCCAUGCCGCGUGUGUGAAGAAGGCCUUCGGGUUGUAAAGCACUUUCAGUAGGGAGGAAGGUAGUGUAGUUAACACCUGCAUUAUUUGACGUUACCUACAGAAGAAGCACCGGCUAACUCCGUGCCAGCAGCCGCGGUAAUACGGAGGGUGCGAGCGUUAAUCGGAAUUACUGGGCGUAAAGCGCAUGCAGGCGGCCUGUUAAGUCAGAUGUGAAAGCCCGGGGCUUAACCUCGGAAUUGCAUUUGAAACUGGCAGGCUAGAGUCUUGUAGAGGGGUUAGAAUUUCAGGUGUAGCGGUGAAAUGCGUAGAGAUCUGAAGGAAUACCAGUGGCGAAGCGGCCCCUGGACAAAGACUGACGCUCAGAUGCGAAAGCGUGGGAGCAAACAGGAUUAGAUACCCCUGGUAGACUGUCA